GGAGCAGCUUCUGGAGAGUCCGCUACUGGCGGCGCCGAAGGAUUCACAAUCUCAGGCAAAAGGACAGAAGAGUAACU
Molecule: non-coding RNA, 77 nt
Filed under: Anaerobacillus isosaccharinicus
Lineage: Bacteria; Bacillati; Bacillota; Bacilli; Caryophanales; Bacillaceae
Also listed under: 1 other name
Description: Anaerobacillus sp. NB2006 Glycine riboswitch aptamer
Rfam family: Glycine riboswitch aptamer
About the family: This family represents the bacterial glycine riboswitch.
Source: Rfam by way of RNAcentral